Molecule: long non-coding RNA, 922 nt
Organism: Mauremys reevesii (Reeves's turtle)
Lineage: Eukaryota; Metazoa; Chordata; Testudines; Geoemydidae
Exons: 3
Source: RefSeq, a predicted model, not a curated record
AGGGAAUUUAAAGGCCCCUGUCUCUUCCAGUCCAAGCCACGACUCUUCUGGUUGAGGCCACGCCCCCUGCUCAGGACUCCGGAGUACUAGGGAGAGACUUUAAAAUAAUCUGCCUGGAGGGACAUGUCACGAGAAGAGAGACCACAGCAGGUCCGGAGCAGCUGUCAGCAGGAGGCACUAGGUGGGGAAGGAGCUGCUACACCAUGCCCCGCCAUGAGGGGGCGUGCCAUUGAUUGGUGUGCCAGGGCUUUGCUGACCAGUGAAGAGUGGUGAGGCUGGCGGAGUCCACGUGGCCAUGGAGCAGGGGUCAGACUAUGGAUGACAUGCCCCUUUGUACGCACUAGCCCUGCCACAGCAGUAGCUUGGAUCGGAGGUUCUAGCAGUGUGUUGGAUGGAUCUCAGGCAAUGGGCUUGAGGCCAGCGGAGCAGGGUGUGAAGCCAUGCCCCCUGCUUCAUGCCCUGCCUUAGCCUAGUAGUGGGACUCCUCCCAGGGUGAUGCCAAAGUGGCCUGGUCCUGAAGGUUUCCCUCCAGUCUUGUGGCAUGCCCCAUAUAGUAUCCUCCCAGAGCUUCCAUUCAAGUGGCAACCGCCCUGCCAAUAGGUGAAGGAGAGAGUGGGGCUUGGGUGGAAUUCCACCCAUUGCGUGUUGGCUUGUCUCUGUGAACAGCCAGCCACAGCUUCUCCCUGCACUGAUCCUCUUAGCUUAGGAAGCCAGCAGCCUGUACUUCCCAGCAGCAGCUGGGCCACUCCUCCAGUAUCAUCUGCUGACCUACCCAACGGUGAUCACAGGCUCCCUUUCCUGGCAAUCUGGCUUUUGCUCCUAGCUGAUGCCAACAUCAAAGGCAGCUUGCAGGUCCCCCUCCUCCCUCUCUGUUGCUUGCUGCUGUAGUCUCCCUUCCUCUUCUGGCAGCGGUGGUGAUGCU